CCUCCCAAAUAUAUUAGAAAAUUUUCCCCCUCUUCAACAUCUCCCCCCAAAAUCAAUUUCCCAUUCCAAAAUCAACUUCCCUCUUCAAACUAGGGCAACUUCAAUUCUAAAAAAUUCUUCCAUCCUCAUCUUCUAAGGUCAGAUUGCUGGCAAAUUCCCUCCCAGUCGUUGUUUCUGCCUUCGCCAGAUCAGAACUAGUCACCUAGCUACUGGAAUCGAGGGUUGGUGGCGAUUGGUACAAGCGAAUGAUUCUGUUGAUUCUAAUUAGUGGAUAAAUAGUCGGUUUUGGUAGAUCUUUGUCAGAAAGUGCAUUAACUGCUUCAAUUUAUGAUUUCAUGGAACGACGUGCCAACCACCAUGACACCGAGCGUUGUGGCCAAGGUCGACUACUCGACCGCCGCCAUCUGCAUAAAAUAGGGUAUCGGCUAAUAAAUACUGUUUAUCCGGAUGCCUUCCAUCUGCAUACAUGGAACGGGAAUUUUGGCUUGAGAUGACACGUGGCAAGAAGGGAACGGUUGAAUAUGGAGUAAACGUAGAUGGGAGUGCGUUCUCAUCUUCCUCUGAUGAUCAUCUUGCAAACAACAAAUGGAAUCUUAAGAAACUUCGUAGGUUGCCAAGAUUAGCACUUAAAACGAUAUUCCAGGAGUGACUGAUCCCAUGUUGUAUAUUGGAAUGCUUUUCAGUAUGUUUGAAUGGCAUGUAGAAGAUCACUACUUGUAUAGCAUAAAUUUCAUCACUGUGGGGCACCAAAAACAUGGUAUGGAGUUCCCGGUAGUGCUGCUGAUGAGUUUGAGAAAGUUAUCCAGAAUCAUGUUUACACUAGAGAAAUAUUAUCAAGAAACGGGUCAGAAGGAGCCUUUGAGAUGCUUGCAGAAAAAAAACAACUAUGUUUUCUCCAAAGAUCCUGUUGGAGAAUCACGUUCCGGUUUACAAACUUGUGCAAUUACUAGGGGAGUUCGUUGGCACGUUUCCUAGAGCGUAUCAUGCCGGUUUCAGUCAUGGAUAAGAACGAGUCUGCAAAUGGUUUUCUGUUGCUGCUACAGGCAGGGGCGGACUCAAGUACAAGGUUACGGGUUCAGGUGAAACCAUUAAAUUUUGAAUUUUUAACGUACGGUAUAUAUAAAAAAAGAUUGAACCAAUGACUAAAUUUUAAGUGAACGCUUAUACAAGAUCUAACUUGGUUCCAGCUGGUAAAGAGCUUUUGUUUGGUGUAAGAGCCUAAGAGGUCGCGAGCUCUAUGCUCUCUUUUUCAUUUUGAAAACUUUUUUUCCCCUAUACUCCAAUUCAACACUUCAGCCAUCCUACCAGGCAUGACAGCCGGUUAACCUGUUUUCUAGCCCUAACCCUCUUCCAGUCCUCCCACUACCACUACCACAACCACUACAAGUUGCGAGUCAUCGAUUUGUUGUUUUGAAGUCACAAGAUUUUUUUCGAUUUAAUUAUUUAUUUCUAUUACCAUUAAAGGGUUAUUUUAAUGUUAUUAGUUAAUUCAGAGUUAUAAUUUAUGGUGCUUUAUUUCGUUUUAUUUUUAUAUAUCAUCUGAAUAAUUAUCUUUCGGGAGUUUUUGUUUAUGUUAUGUUCCCUCUAACUCUGAUUACUUUGAUUAUAUGUUGUUCUACUACAUCCUUUGGAAAGCUAUGGACCUGAAGAAGAUACUUGGAAUCCUAUAGAUGGCAUGGGGUAUGCAAAUCACUUUUAAUAUUUAAUUUUCAUGUUGUGGUGGUGCAAAUGAAUCGCAGCCAAUGACAACUUUGGAUCCGCUGCUUCAGGAGCUUAUGGAAGGAAUAGAAGUUCCAGGCUAGUAGAUGUCAUCAGGACCACCACCCAAAGAUGUCACAAACCUAGUCUACAUCCAUCUGCAUAUCUAAUGCCUCAGGUCCUCUUCCAACUUAUCGUGGUGGGCCGCAACAUUACGUUAUACCAACCAUGGAGUACAUGGACCUGUUGGUGGCGUUUCUCAACCUGGUAGUCAUGGUUUCACUGUUGGUUAGGGGAAUGCAAUUGACAAUAGCAAUCAUUUAACUAGCAAGAAGAUUGUGAAAGAGGUUUAUAAGCGCAAUGAAGUUUUGAGUUUUUAUUCAAACGUUUAUUAGUUAUUUGUUUUGUAUGUUUGAUAUUUAGACUUAAGUUGAUACUUAUUAGACAUUUGUUUGAAACAUUUGCAAUGUGUGGAAGACAAUCAAACGUUUAAUUGAGGUUAUUAUAUAAU
Long non-coding RNA from Helianthus annuus (common sunflower), 2209 nucleotides. RefSeq lists it as uncharacterized. The record is from RefSeq and is a predicted model, not a curated record. Lineage: Eukaryota; Viridiplantae; Streptophyta; Magnoliopsida; Asterales; Asteraceae. The transcript is spliced from 7 exons.